This 481-nucleotide long non-coding RNA is filed under the name Pan troglodytes (chimpanzee). RNAcentral's name for it is "lincRNA". The record is from RNAcentral. Lineage: Eukaryota; Metazoa; Chordata; Mammalia; Primates; Hominidae.
GCUCCGGUAUAUUGCAAAUAACCUUCUUUCUUUCUGUUCCCGGGCGGCUUCGGACCCCUGUCGGAGAGUAAAUCCCAAGUAAGGAAUGGAACAGAUAAGAAGAUACUGAGAUUGGACGGUGCUGCCGUGCGGCCGCCGCAGGACAGUUUUAAUAUCCCUGUUUCUCAGGCUGUAGAUGAAGGGGUUCAGCAUGGAGGUGAUCACCGUGUACAUCACUGAGGCCACUGCAGCCUUUCUCGGGGAAGAUGACACAUCUGAACUGAGGAUAACUUCAGGAAGUGGGUAUUAAUUCUCACGGUAUAAGUGAAGACAUUAAGCACCAGAGUUUAAGUAGCUUGAUCCACUGAAAGAGAUUCAACUGUGUGGAACCUAUGCCACGGAGAAUUGCUUUCUGCCAUUGUUAUCGUCCAGCAGUUGCCGAAUAUCUCUGACCUGAGCAAAGCAGUGAAACGCGGUGCUGUUGAGUGGGUUGCCACUGCAC